AGAGUUUGAUCCUGGCUCAGGAUGAACGCUGGCGGUCUGCUUAACACAUGCAAGUCGAACGGAGUAGAAAUACUUAGUGGCGGACGGGUGAGUAACGCGUGAGAAUCUGCCUUCAGGACGGAGACAACAGUUGGAAACGACUGCUAAGCCCCGAUGAACCGAAAGGGAAAAUAUUUAUAGCCUGAAGAUGAGCUCGCGUCCGAUUAGCUAGUUGGGGGGGUAAAGGCCCACCAAGGCGACGAUCGGUAGCUGGUCUGAGAGGACGAUCAGCCACACUGGGACUGAGACACGGCCCAGACUCCUACGGGAGGCAGCAGUGGGGAAUUUUCCGCAAUGGGCGAAAGCCUGACGGAGCAAGACCGCGUGGGGGAAGAAGGCUCUUGGGUUGUAAACCCCUUUUCUCUGGGAAGAAAGUUGUGAAAGCAACCUGACGGUACCAGAGGAAUCAGCAUCGGCUAACUCCGUGCCGGCAGCCGCGGUAAGACGGAGGAUGCAAGCGUUAUCCGGAAUGAUUGGGCGUAAAGCGUCCGCAGGUGGCAGUUCAAGUCUGCUGUCAAAGACCGGGGCUUAACUUCGGAAAGGCAGUGGAAACUGAACAGCUAGAGUAUGGUAGGGGCAGAGGGAAUUCCUGGUGUAGCGGUGAAAUGCGUAGAGAUCAGGAAGAACAUCGGUGGCGAAGGGCUCUGCUGGACCAUAACUGACACUCAGGGACGAAAGCUAGGGGAGCGAAUGGGAUUAGAUACCCUAGUAGUCC
RNAcentral lists this ribosomal RNA (754 nucleotides) under uncultured bacterium. RNAcentral describes it as "bacterial SSU rRNA". It matches the Rfam family "Bacterial small subunit ribosomal RNA", at positions 8 to 796 of the family's 1533-position model. The record is from RNAcentral.